GGACAAUCUGAGAUGAUUAGUCACCCUAGGUGGGGGACAUCUGGAGAAAGAACAGAAGGGGAAAAGGUGUCUACAGAGGCAAGCCACCCAACAGCUGCUCGAAGAUUUUCCCUGUUGUGGGAAUUGGAUUUGCACCCUCCAUCAGCAAGUUCCUGCUCAUCAUGCCUGGCAACUACAGACAGCUGGCCAGCAGGGAAAGUACUGGGAGAAAAAGUUAAUAGCCUAGAAAGGAACCGAAGUCCAUCAACACAGCAGCCUCUCUAAUUGAGCUGAUAAGCCAUUGGCAGGGAUCAGCAAAACCUUUGGCAGGAUCAGGGACACUGUUUUGCCAUGUUGCCCAGGUGGUUGGUUUCAAACUCAUGGACUCAAAUGCUGCCCCCACCGUGGCCUCCCAAAGUGCUGGGACUGCAGGCGUGAGUGACAACACUUGGCCCAAAUUUAUCUUUUUGCACACAGAUAUUCAAUUGUCCUAGCACCAUUUGUUGAAAAAAACUAUACUUUCCUCUAUUGAAUUACCUUGGAACCUUUGUGGAAAAUUAACUGACCGUAAAUACAUGGGUUUAUUUCUAGACAGUCAAGUCUGUUCUAUAAAUCUAUAUAUCUAUCCUUAUGCAAAAUCACAUGGUCUUAAUUAUUGUAGCUUUAUAAUAAGUUUUGAAAUCAGAAUGUGUAUAAGUCUAUCUGACUUUGCUCUCUUGUGAGAAUGUUUUGGCUAGCUAUUUUGAUCUUAACUUGUUAUGAUAUUCUACUCCAAAAAUAACUGACACUUUUCAGUGAUGCUAAUGAGAGAGAUAAUGAUUGAAUUAGAAAUAAUGAGUUCAUUUGUGUGUUUUUUUUGUUUUUUGUUUUUGUUUUUUUGUUUUUUUGUUUUUUUUUUUACAGCCUGUAGCAUAUGCUUUUGUGUAACCUCAGCUCAGCAAGGGCCCAUCUUUUUUAUUUGAAUGGGUUUGAUUUUUGGCAAUGACAUCAAGUCAUGAUAGCCAAAUCUGAUGCAUGAGAUGAGUCAUUCAGCUCUAGUACCACAAUUUAGGUGAAAAGAUGAAUAAGGAUU
RNAcentral lists this long non-coding RNA (1051 nucleotides) under Homo sapiens (human). RNAcentral describes it as "HSALNT0128376". The record is from RNAcentral. Lineage: Eukaryota; Metazoa; Chordata; Mammalia; Primates; Hominidae.